GUUGAUGAUGAGGUACAUAUACACGGGAUCUGUUGAUGUUAAUAUGGGUGUUGCAAAGGAUCUUCUAAGGGUUGCUGAUCAAUAUCUUCUUGAGGGCCUUAAGCGUCUGUGCGAGUAUGCAAUUGCCCAGGAUAUCUCAGUGGAAAAUGUCUCUCUGAUGUUUGAGUUAUCAGAGGCUUUCAAUGCAUUGUCAUUAAGAAAUGCUUGCAUUGUAUUCACAUUGGAGAAGUUCGACAAAUUAAGUGUCAUGCCAUGGUAUUCGCAAUUGAUUCAACUUAUAUUACCUGAGACACGUGCGUACUUUGCUAGGGUGCUGAGCAGGCCAAUUCAAGCUGACCUCUGAUUUAGGUUCAUUUUUAUUCUUUGAUUAGAUGUAGUAUAUGAUGUAAAUUGUACAGGAAGUGGGUUUUAUUCCACUCGUCUCUAAUUGCAAGAGUUAUGUGUCAUUUCUCAUCGCUUGCAAUUCCAUAUUUGUUGUGACGUUUAAUGUAGCGUAUGAAGUUCAGUUGCAACGCCUGCCAUGCUUCUAAA
This 531-nucleotide unclassified non-coding RNA is filed under the name Hevea brasiliensis (rubber tree). The record is from RNAcentral. Lineage: Eukaryota; Viridiplantae; Streptophyta; Magnoliopsida; Malpighiales; Euphorbiaceae.